Small nuclear RNA from Sapajus apella (tufted capuchin), 104 nucleotides. The record is from RefSeq and is a predicted model, not a curated record. NCBI's taxonomy places the organism in Eukaryota, Metazoa, Chordata, Mammalia, Primates, Cebidae.
GUACUCCCUUUAGCACCUACGGUAAAAUUGGAAAGAUACAGAGAAAGCUAUCAUGGCUCCUGUGCAAGGGUGACAUGCAAGUCAGCGAAGCAUUCCAUAUAUUU